This 456-nucleotide ribosomal RNA is filed under the name Streptococcus mitis. RNAcentral describes it as "bacterial SSU rRNA". It matches the Rfam family "Bacterial small subunit ribosomal RNA", at positions 28 to 470 of the family's 1533-position model. The record is from RNAcentral. Lineage: Bacteria; Bacillati; Bacillota; Bacilli; Lactobacillales; Streptococcaceae.
GACGAACGCUGGCGGCGUGCCUAAUACAUGCAAGUAGAACGCUGAAGGAGGAGCUUGCUUCUCUGGAUGAGUUGCGAACGGGUGAGUAACGCGUAGGUAACCUGCCUGGUAGCGGGGGAUAACUAUUGGAAACGAUAGCUAAUACCGCAUAAGAGUAGAUGUUGCAUGACAUUUGCUUAAAAGGUGCAAUUGCAUCACUACCAGAUGGACCUGCGUUGUAUUAGCUAGUUGGUGGGGUAACGGCUCACCAAGGCGACGAUACAUAGCCGACCUGAGAGGGUGAUCGGCCACACUGGGACUGAGACACGGCCCAGACUCCUACGGGAGGCAGCAGUAGGGAAUCUUCGGCAAUGGACGGAAGUCUGACCGAGCAACGCCGCGUGAGUGAAGAAGGUUUUCGGAUCGUAAAGCUCUGUUGUAAGAGAAGAACGAGUGUGAGAGUGGAAAGUUCACAGC